UAUUCCUUGAUUUCUUUGGGUCGAUUUUGACCCUUCAUCAUUAUUGUAUAUUUGGCACAACAUGCUCGUCUUCUAUAAAGCUCACACCAAAUCUUAAUCAUAAAGAGUGGGGAUGAGAGAGAGAAAAAAGAAGAAGAAGAAGAAGAAGAAGAAGAAGAAAAUGGGGCUGAAAAACUUCACUGCCAUUUUUCAAAAUCAGACAACCCGUUUCCUUUCAAAGGGUAGCCAAAAAGUCCCCAUACACACCCAUCAACGAGCUUCUUCUUUACCAAAAAAAAAAACUAAAAAAAUUAGAUCAUCAUUUUCAAACCACCUUCUAGCUAGAACUGGAAACAAAAAAACAAUACAGCCUCUAUCAUCAGCGCUGUCUCUUUUCGCCACCCUCGAGUUACUACUAUCUUGCCCCACGUUGACUCAAGGAACCAUAGCCGAUGCUUCCACAGUACCUUUAACCUGAGGUGUUCAUUACCGGAAUCAUAACCCAAGGCAGGCCAGGAGCCCACUUACAUCGUCCAUGUGCAUCUUCAGCGUGCUCGUUUUACAUUCUUGCCUCUGACCUCUCUGGACUUAGCUUUAUUCAAGCACUAGCCACUCAAAAAAAGAGUGAAGAUGAGGUACGGGAUAUCCAGUGGAGCUGUCUACAUCAUAAUCACUCAAGUACCGGUCCCUUGUUUGAACCAAGUAGAUAUCUCAAUUGAUGAGAAAGCAGACUAGUAAACAGCCAACAGUGGCAGUUCUCCUCCUGCAUUACACCGUGAUGAGUGCGAGACUCUUCAAAAUUAUCACACCGUGAUGAGUGCGAGACUCUUCAAAAUUGAUGAGAAAGCAGAGGAGUCACUGCUUCUGGAAUGAAUGUAACUCUGGAAUUAUUCCAAAUCCACAAGUUUCAUAAUGUUGUGUUGAUUGU
Molecule: long non-coding RNA, 907 nt
Organism: Populus nigra (black poplar)
Lineage: Eukaryota; Viridiplantae; Streptophyta; Magnoliopsida; Malpighiales; Salicaceae
Exons: 2
Source: RefSeq, a predicted model, not a curated record